This is a transfer RNA of Bacteroidales bacterium CF, 75 nucleotides long. It matches the Rfam family "tRNA". From Rfam's summary of the family: Transfer RNA (tRNA) molecules are approximately 80 nucleotides in length. NCBI's taxonomy places the organism in Bacteria, Pseudomonadati, Bacteroidota, Bacteroidia, Bacteroidales. The record is from Rfam.
GGGAGCAUAGCUCAGUUGGUUUAGAGCAUCUGCCUUACAAGCAGAGGGUCGGGGGUUCGACUCCCUCUGCUCCCA